GAUGAACGCUGGCGGCGUGCCUAAUACAUGCAAGUCGAGCGAACGGACGAGAAGCCUGCUUCUCUGAUGCUAGCGGCGGACGGGUGAGUAACACGUGGAUAACCUACCUAUAAGACUGGGAUAACUUCGGGAAACCGGAGCUAAUACCGGAUAAUAUUUUGAACCGCAUGGUUCAAAAGUGAAAGACGGUCUUGCUGUCACUUAUAGAUGGAUCCGCGCUGCAUUAGCUAGUUGGUAAGGUAACGGCUUACCAAGGCAACGAUGCAUAGCCGACCUGAGAGGGUGAUCGGCCACACUGGAACUGAGACACGGUCCAGACUCCUACGGGAGGCAGCAGUAGGGAAUCUUCCGCAAUGGGCGAAAGCCUGACGGAGCAACGCCGCGUGAGUGAUGAAGGUCUUCGGAUCGUAAAACUCUGUUAUUAGGGAAGAACAUAUGUGUAAGUAACUGUGCACAUCUUGACGGUACCUAAUCAGAAAGCCACGGCUAACUACGUG
Molecule: ribosomal RNA, 497 nt
Filed under: uncultured bacterium
Lineage: Bacteria
Description: partial 16S ribosomal RNA
Rfam family: Bacterial small subunit ribosomal RNA
Source: RNAcentral